UCAGGCCUAACACAUGCAAGUCGAACGAACCCUUCGGGGUUAGUGGCGCACGUGUGCGUAACGCGUGGGGAUCUGCCCUUUGCUUCGGAAUAACAGUUAGAAAUGACUGCUAAUACCGGAUGAUGUCGAAAGACCAAAGAUUUAUCGGCAAAGGGUGAACCCGCGUAGGAUUAGCUAGUUGGUGGGGUAAAGGCCUACCAAGGCGACGAUCCUUAGCUGGUCUGAGAGGAUGAUCAGCCACACUGGGACUGAGACACGGCCCAGACUCCUACGGGAGGCAGCAGUGGGGAAUAUUGGACAAUGGGCGAAAGCCUGAUCCAGCAAUGCCGCGUGAGAAUGAAGGCCUUAGGGUUGUAAAGCUCUUUUACCAGGGAGAUAAUGAC
Molecule: ribosomal RNA, 383 nt
Filed under: uncultured bacterium
Lineage: Bacteria
Description: bacterial SSU rRNA
Rfam family: Bacterial small subunit ribosomal RNA
Source: RNAcentral